CGCAAAGGUCACCUCCUUUGGAGGGGCUGUGUUUAUUAGAUACAAAACCAACCCACUUUGUAGUGGAGUCUUGGUGAUUCAUAGUAACCGAACGGAUCGCAGUUGGUUCUUUUGGGCCCGCGAUGGAUCAUUCAAGUUUCUGACCUAUCAGCUUUCGACGGUAGGGUAUUGGCCUACCGUGGCAGUGACGGGUAACGGGGAAUUAGGGUUCGAUUCCGGAGAGGGAGCCUGAAAAACGGCUACCACAUCUAAGGAAGGCAGCAGGCGCGCAAAUUACCCAAUGAAAACAGCUUCGAGGUAGUGACGAGAAAUAACAAUACAGGGCAUUUUAUGCUUUGUAAUUGGAAUGAUGGGAAUGUAAAACCCUUCCAAAGUAACAAUUGGAGGGCAAGUCUGGUGCCAGCAGCCGCGGUAAUUCCAGCUCCAAUAGUGUAUAUUAAAGUUGUUGCAGUUAAAAAGCUCGUAGUUGGAUUUCUGUCGUGGUCAUCCGGCGUCGCCCGUAUGGGUGUGGGCCUGGCAUGCCCUCGGCUUAUUUCCGGUAGCCUUCCGCGCUUAAUUGCGUGUGUUGGUGUUCUGGAACUUUUACUUUGAGAAAAAUAGAGUGUUUCAAGCAGGCUUGUCGCCCUGAAUACUGCAGCAUGGAAUAAUAAGAUAGGACCUCGGUUCUAUUUUGUUGGUUUCUAGGACCAAGGUAAUGAUUAAUAGGGACAGUUGGGGGCAUUCGUAUUUAACUGUCAGAGGUGAAAUUCUUAGAUUUGUUAAAGACGAACUACUGCGAAAGCAUUUGCCAA
This 791-nucleotide ribosomal RNA is filed under the name Eimeria tenella. RNAcentral's name for it is "SSU rRNA". It matches the Rfam family "Eukaryotic small subunit ribosomal RNA", at positions 174 to 961 of the family's 1831-position model. The record is from RNAcentral. Lineage: Eukaryota; Apicomplexa; Conoidasida; Eucoccidiorida; Eimeriidae.